Molecule: small nucleolar RNA, 106 nt
Organism: Zingiber officinale
Lineage: Eukaryota; Viridiplantae; Streptophyta; Magnoliopsida; Zingiberales; Zingiberaceae
Source: RefSeq, a predicted model, not a curated record
AUCUCAUGAUGUGGGCAUUGAUAUAAAAGAUUUAAGAAUAUGUCCCAUGCUUGGCAUAAUGUUUUCCCUUCCUUCUAUUCGAAAUACAGUAUUUGAUUCCUGAGUU